Molecule: ribosomal RNA, 244 nt
Filed under: uncultured bacterium
Lineage: Bacteria
Description: partial 16S ribosomal RNA
Rfam family: Bacterial small subunit ribosomal RNA
Source: RNAcentral
UGGCGACCGGCGCACGGGUGAGUAACACGUAUCCAACCUGCCGAUAACUCGGGGAUAGCCUUUCGAAAGAAAGAUUAAUACCCGAUGGUAUAAUAAAGCCGCAUGGUUUAAUUAUUAAAGAAUUUCGGUUAUCGAUGGGGAUGCGUUCCAUUAGGCAGUUGGUGAGGUAACGGCUCACCAAGGCGACGAUCGGUAGCCGGACUGAGAGGUUGAACGGCCACAUUGGGACUGAGACACGGCCCAG